AGUUACCUGCCCCCGACUCUGGAAUAACCGUGGGAAACGACGGCUAAUACCGGAUAUGAGACGCACAGGCAUCUGUGUGUCUGGAAAGAUUUAUCGGUCAGGGAUGGACUCGCGGCCUAUCAGCUUGUUGGUGGGGUAAUGGCCCACCAAGGCGACGACGGGUAGCCGGCCUGAGAGGGCGACCGGCCACACUGGGACUGAGAUACGGCCCAGACUCCUACGGGAGGCAGCAGUGGGGAAUAUUGCACAAUGGGCGCAAGCUGAUGCAGCGACGCCGCGUGAGGGAUGAAGGCCUUCGGGUUGUAAACCUCUUUCAGCAGGGAAGAAGCGAAAGUGACGGUACCUGCAGAAGAAGCGCCGGCUAACUACGUGCCAGCAGCCGCGGUAAUACGUAGGGCGCAAGCGUUGUCCGGAAUUAUUGGGCGUAAAGAGCUCGUAGGCGGUUUGUCGCGUCUGCUGUGAAAACCUGAGGCUCAACCUCGGGCUUGCAGUGGGUACGGGCAGACUAGAGUUCGGUAGGGGUGACUGGAAUUCCUGGUGUAGCGGUGGAAUGCGCAGAUAUCAGGAGGAACACCGAUGGCGAAGGCAGGUCACUGGGCCGCAACUGACGCUGAGGAGCGAAAGCAUGGGGAGCGAACAGGAUUAGAUACCCUGGUAGUCCAUGCCGUAAACGUUGGGCACUAGGUGUGGAGCUCAUUCCACGAGUUCCGUGCCGCAGCAAACGCAUUAAGUGCCCCGCCUGGGGAGUACGGCCGCAAGGCUAAAACUCAAAGAAAUUGACGGGGGCCCGCACAAGCGGCGGAGCAUGCGGAUUAAUUCGAUGCAACGCGAAGAACCUUACCAAGGCUUGACAUACACCGGAAAAGUGCAGAGAUGUGCUCCCCGCAAGGUCGGUGUACAGGUGGUGCAUGGUUGUCGUCAGCUCGUGUCGUGAGAUGUUGGGUUAAGUCCCGCAACGAGCGCAACCCUCGUCCUAUGUUGCCAGCGGGUUAUGCCGGGGACUCAUAGGAGACUGCCGGGGUCAACUCGGAGGAAGGUGGGGAUGACGUCAAAUCAUCAUGCCCCUUAUGUCUUGGGCUUCACGCAUGCUACAAUGGCCGGUACAAAGGGCUGCGAUACCGCGAGGUGGAGCGAAUCCCAAAAAGCCGGUCUCAGUUCGGAUUGGGGUCUGCAACUCGACCCCAUGAAGUCGGAGUCGCUAGUAAUCGCAGAUCAGCAACGCUGCGG
RNAcentral lists this ribosomal RNA (1227 nucleotides) under Cellulomonadaceae str. W10. RNAcentral describes it as "bacterial SSU rRNA". It matches the Rfam family "Bacterial small subunit ribosomal RNA", at positions 120 to 1362 of the family's 1533-position model. The record is from RNAcentral. Lineage: Bacteria; Bacillati; Actinomycetota; Actinomycetes; Micrococcales; Cellulomonadaceae.